RNAcentral lists this transfer RNA (62 nucleotides) under Abrus expansivus. RNAcentral describes it as "tRNA-His". The record is from RNAcentral. Lineage: Eukaryota; Metazoa; Arthropoda; Insecta; Hemiptera; Cicadellidae.
AUUUGAGUAAUUUAUUAAAAAUACAGAUUUGUGGAUUCUGAAAAGCUAUUAAGCCUCAAAUU